This 602-nucleotide ribosomal RNA is filed under the name Rothia mucilaginosa. Its description in RNAcentral is "partial 23S ribosomal RNA". It matches the Rfam family "Bacterial large subunit ribosomal RNA", at positions 524 to 1126 of the family's 2925-position model. The record is from RNAcentral. Lineage: Bacteria; Bacillati; Actinomycetota; Actinomycetes; Micrococcales; Micrococcaceae.
CCCCGGGAGGGGAGUGAAAGAGUACCUGAAACCGUGUGCUUACAAGUAGUCAGAGCCCGUUAAUGGGUGAUGGCGUGCCUUUUGUAGAAUGAACCGGCGAGUUACGUUAACAUGCGAGGUUAAGAUGAAGAGUCGGAGCCGUAGCGAAAGCGAGUCUGAAUAGGGCGCAUGUAGUAUGUUGACGUAGACCCGAAACCAAGUGAUCUACCCAUGUCCAGGUUGAAGGUGCGGUAAAACGCACUGGAGGACCGAACCAGGGCACGUUGAAAAGUGCUUGGAUGAGGUGUGGGUAGCGGAGAAAUUCCAAUCGAACACGGCGAUAGCUGGUUCUCCCCGAAAUAGCUUUAGGGCUAGCGUUGAACGAAUCUACCCGGAGGUAGAGCACUGAAAUCAUGCGGGCGGCAUCUCGCCGUACCAAAUGAUAUCAAACUCCGAAUGCCGGGCAAGAAUAUUCAGCAGUCAGACUGUGGGUGAUAAGGUCCAUGGUCAAAAGGGAAACAGCCCAGAUCAUCAGAUAAGGUCCCAAAAUUUACGCUAAGUGGAAAAGGAUGUGGAGACGCGCAAACAGCUAGGAGGUUGGCUCAGAAGCAGCCAUCCUUCAA